UAGGGAAUCUUCCACAAUGGACGCAAGCCUGAUGGAGCAACGCCGCGUGAGUGAAGAAGGGUUUCGGCUCGUAAAGCUCUGUUGUUAAAGAAGAACGUGGGUAAGAGUAACUGUUUACCCAGUGACGGUAUUUAACCAGAAAGCCACGGCUAACUACGUGCCAG
RNAcentral lists this ribosomal RNA (164 nucleotides) under uncultured bacterium. RNAcentral describes it as "partial 16S rRNA". It matches the Rfam family "Bacterial small subunit ribosomal RNA", at positions 355 to 511 of the family's 1533-position model. The record is from RNAcentral.